Molecule: long non-coding RNA, 281 nt
Filed under: Homo sapiens (human)
Lineage: Eukaryota; Metazoa; Chordata; Mammalia; Primates; Hominidae
Description: HSALNT0295229
Source: RNAcentral
ACACACACACACACACACAAAUAUACACACACACACACACACACACACACACACACACACACACACACAGACACACACACACAGAGAGAGAGAACGAGCUCAGUGAAUUGUCCAGGUGACACACUGAUGAGGGAGUAACAGGACACUCUGAGUUAGUGCCCUCAGGACACACAGCAUACAGUGAUCAUGAAAAGACUGUGCUCAAUAAUUUUCCAUAAAAUGUGCUCAAGUUUCCAUGCAGUCGCCAUGAGAAUACAGUUUUUGAAGUCUGGUCCACCUAC